RNAcentral lists this ribosomal RNA (253 nucleotides) under uncultured bacterium. RNAcentral's name for it is "partial 16S ribosomal RNA". It matches the Rfam family "Bacterial small subunit ribosomal RNA", at positions 524 to 776 of the family's 1533-position model. The record is from RNAcentral.
UACGGAGGGGGCUAGCGUUGUUCGGAAUCAUUGGGCGUAAAGGGCGCGUAGGCGGCCGAUCAAGUCGGAGGUGAAAUCCCUCGGCUCAACUGAGGAAUUGCCUUCGAUACUGUUCGGCUUGAGUCCUGGAGAGGGUAGCGGAAUUCCCGGUGUAGCGGUGAAAUGCUUAGAUAUCGUCAAGAACACCGAUAGUGAAGACAGCUAACUAAACUUUUACUGACGCUGAGGCACGAAAGUGUGGGGAUCAAACAGG